AAUAAAGUUGUAGUAGCAGUAGUUAUCUUUUUGUCUGUUUCACUCUCUCUUUAACAGUGAUGGAAAUGAUUGGGGCCAUUAGCAUUCUGAUGAAGAGAGGCUGUGACAAAGGCUAUGACUACAGGGCCUCCUGACUCUUCUGUGAUGCUGCCAGUGAUGUAGAGGGGACUGACUCCAAUUGCACCAUUUUUGAAACAGCCCUAACAUGGUAUGGAGAAAACAGACAGAUGGGCAAUUCAUAAUGCGGGCAUAAUGUUCUCAGUUUUGCAGAGUUAGCUUUGCAUUUUAUAUGGAAGAAUGAUACCAGGAUUUGAAAACUUCAUGCAGGAUGUACUGUGGUGCUUUAGUCAAGUAAAAGGAACUAUUGAUAUUGGGGUGACAGAAGAGCAGUUAUAAACUGAAGGCUAUA
This 409-nucleotide long non-coding RNA is filed under the name Anser brachyrhynchus (Pink-footed goose). RNAcentral describes it as "lncRNA (ENSABRG00000016809.1)". The record is from RNAcentral. Lineage: Eukaryota; Metazoa; Chordata; Aves; Anseriformes; Anatidae.